UUUUAGUCCCUUUAAAAUUUUCCAUCAACAUUUUAGUCCUAUAAAAAAUUUCAUCAGCAUUUUUCACUAGUACAAAAAACACUUAUUACAUCUAGGAUUUUAAAUGGGUUGUUAUCCACCUGACUUAAAAUGCUGGGUGUAAGGAAAGUUUUUAACUCCUAAAAAAAAAUUUCACAUUUCAUUAUCCCUUUUCACUUUCACUUUUCCCUUUCCCCUUUUCACUUUCCCUUUUCCCUUUCCCCUUCACUCCAACACCAUCAUGAAACCCACUCCACCAUUUCACCAAACCAAUCCACCAAACCACCAAUCGAACUCAAUCCACCACCGUGAAAACCCAAUCGAACUCAGAACCCAAACCACCACCGUUCUCCCUUUUCCUCCAUUUUCAAUCAUAACCCAAUCCCAAACCACCACCGUGAAACCCAAAGUCAGACCCCAAACCACCGUGAAACACCAUCUCUGCACCAUCGUUGUCUCUCUCCAUCGCUGUCUCGCUACAUCUUCAACGUCGGUCUCAAAUUCCAGAUCAAAAAGCUAUCGCACAAUCGCCGAGUCGCCGUGAAACCAUGUUCCUCUUCGUCGCGACAUCGUAAUUUCUAGUUUAAUGAAGGGCCUCAAUUUCUAUUUGUGAAGAAGUGCAAUACAUACAUCCUGGUGAGGUAUAAAUUUCACAUUGACAUUCUG
Long non-coding RNA from Medicago truncatula (barrel medic), 684 nucleotides. RefSeq lists it as uncharacterized. The record is from RefSeq and is a predicted model, not a curated record. Lineage: Eukaryota; Viridiplantae; Streptophyta; Magnoliopsida; Fabales; Fabaceae. The transcript is spliced from 3 exons.